Molecule: long non-coding RNA, 1254 nt
Organism: Oncorhynchus keta (chum salmon)
Lineage: Eukaryota; Metazoa; Chordata; Actinopteri; Salmoniformes; Salmonidae
Exons: 3
Source: RefSeq, a predicted model, not a curated record
UGGUGUUUCCUCCGACACAUUGAUGCAGCUGGCUUCCGGGUUAAGGGGACGGGUGUUAAGAAGCGCGGCUUGGCUGAUCAUUUGCUAACGUGAGAAAAGCACACGUACCUAGAAGUUUCUCAUUUUUGUGAAUGGAAUAUUUGGCUUGAAGUCUCAUGCGGGUACUUUAAAUGUAUUUUUAUUUUAUUUAACUAGUCAAGUCAGUUAAGAACAAAUUGUUAUUUUCAAUGACAGCCAAGGAACAGUGGGUUAACUGCCUUGUUCAGGGGCAGAACGGCAGAUGUUUACCUUGUCAGCUCGAGGAUUAGAUCUUGCAACCAUUUCCGUUACUAGUCCAAUGCUCUAACCACUAGGCUACUUGCCUCCCCACGCCCCAUGCAGUGGCGAACCAUGACUAUUGGAACUAGGCCCUCAGUUGCCGAAAAGAUCUGACAUCAUACAUAUAGAGAACUCGGAUGCCUGUGUAUACAGAGCAUGUCUGAGACCUUUCUUUUGCAGACCUAUGUAGGAGAAGCAAUUCGUAGAUGACAGAGUCAAACAGUCCUAAGCCACGCCUCGGCUGUGGCUCACAGUACAGGUACACAACGGUCCUAAGCCACGCCUCGGCUGUGGCUCACAGCACAGGUACACAACGGUCCGAAGUCACGCCUCGGCUGUGGCUCACAGCACACGUACACAACGGUCCUAAGCCACGCCUCGGCUGUGGCUCACAGCACAGGUACACAACGGUCCUAAGCCACACCUCGGCUGUGGCUCACAGCACAGGUACGCAACGGUCCUAAGCCACACCUCGGCUGUGGCUCACAGCACAGGUACACAACGGUCCUAAGCCACGCCUCGGCUGUGGCUCACAGCACACGUACACAACGGUCCUAAGCCACGCCUCAGCUGUGGCUCACAGCACAGGUACACAACGGUCCUAAGCCACACCUCGGCUGUGGCUCACAGCACAGGUACACAACGGUCCUAAGCCACGCCUCGGCUGUGGCUCAGAGCACAGGUACACAAACGGUCCUAAGCCACGCCUCGGCUGUGGCUCACAGCACAGGUACACAACGGUCCUAAGCCACGCCUCGGCUGUGGCUCACAGCACAGGUACACAACGGUCCUAAGCCACGCCUCGGCUCUGGCUCACAGCACAGGUACACAACGGUCCUAAGCCACGCCUCGGCUGUGGCUCACAGCACAGGUACACAACGGUCCUAAGCCACGCCUCGGCUGUGGCUCACAGCACAGGUACACAACGGUCCUAAG